This 897-nucleotide ribosomal RNA is filed under the name uncultured bacterium. RNAcentral describes it as "bacterial SSU rRNA". It matches the Rfam family "Bacterial small subunit ribosomal RNA", at positions 42 to 959 of the family's 1533-position model. The record is from RNAcentral.
GCGUGCUUAACACAUGCAAGUUGUACGACGGUCUCCGGAGGUAGAAAUACGGAAGGGGAUACGGAGUAGCGGACGGGUGAGUACAACAUGAGAAGCUAUCCCAUAAAGGGGGACAACGUUUGGAAACGAACGCUAAUACCCCAUAGGCCGAGAGGUUAAAGCAGAGAUGCGAUAUGGGAGGUGCUCGUGCCCUAUCAGCUAGUUGGUGAGGUAACGGCUCACCACGGCGACCACGGGUGCCCGGCCUGAGAGGGCGACCGGCCACACUGGAACUGAGAUACGGUCCAGACUCCUACGGGAAGGCAGCAGUGGGGAAUAUUGGGCAAUGGGAGAAAUCCUGACCCAGCAACGCCGCGUGAACGAAGAAGGCCCUUGGGUCGUAAAGUUCUUUUGUGCGGGAAGAAAACAAUGACGGUACCGCAGGAAUAAGCCCCGGCUAAAUACGUGCCAGCAGCCGCGGUAAUACGUAGGGGGCGAGCGUUGUCCGGAAUUACUGGGCGUAAAGGGCACGCAGGCUGUGCCGCAAGUCGGCUGUUAAAAAAUGCGGCUUAACCGUGUUUCGCAGUCGAAACUGCGGUACUGGAGUACCGAAGAGGCAAGUGGAAUUCCCAGUGUAGCGGUGAAAUGCGUAGAUAUUGGGAAGAACACCGGUGGCGAAGGCGACUUGCUGGUCGGUAACUGACGCUAAUGUGCGAAAGCCAGGGGAGCAAACGGGAUUAGAUACCCCGGUAGUCCUGGCGGUAAACGAUGAAUGCUGGGUGUGCGGGUAGAGAUAUCGGCGUGCCGUAGUUAACGCGAUAAGCAUUCCGCCUGGGGAGUACGGUCGCAAGAUUGAAACUCAAAGGAAUUGACGGGGGCCCGCACAAGCGGUGGAGCACGUGGUUUAAUUCGAUGCAA